RNAcentral lists this long non-coding RNA (1075 nucleotides) under Fukomys damarensis (Damara mole-rat). Its description in RNAcentral is "lncRNA (ENSFDAG00000023799.1)". The record is from RNAcentral. Lineage: Eukaryota; Metazoa; Chordata; Mammalia; Rodentia; Bathyergidae.
GUGGGGCAGCUCAGAGCCUCGGGAACUACGGAACUAUCCUGCUCGCCUGUGCCUAUCCAGUCCCCAGAUGUGAGUACUUCAUUUAUGACGUUAAUCCCUACGAGUAUCUGAGGCAUCACAUGUAUCGCAGGCACAGCGUUAGUAGGUGCAUACUUUUAGCGACACAUGGCAGUGGUAUUAUUUCACAAUACCUUCGCGUCAGCAGAGAUGGUACUCAUUGUCCCGCGGACGAGGAGAAACAAAGCAGCAGGGCAUACUGGAGGUCCGGAAGUUGGAGCCCGUCACAGUUUAUUAACAUGGGAACCUUUAGAAAGCAAAUUGCCCGAUUGCACUUCCUGGACCUGAAGAACAGCUGCUUUUAAAGAAAAGUUUUAAAUCACUGGUUUGAAGAAAACAAUACCAGCAUAACCAUCAAAAAAAAAAAAUCACUGCUUCAAAAUUCACAAGAGAGCACCCCAAAGUGUUCCUUCCUCAGAACUGCCUGUGGCUGUGGGGCCUCAGUAAAUUUACAUUUGACAGACAAAGGGGAAACUUUUCCACGUUGCACAAAGAGAACUUUAUAAUCGGGCCUUCAGGCCGGGACUCCAGGGAUGCGCCUAGAAGUGGGCCAGGAGAUAAAUGCAGGGAACCCAGCCGAAGCCGCAGUCUCAGGCCGCCCUGCCUCAGGUAGCUGAAAUCUGAAACGCUUAUCACAGCAGUAAGAGAAAUUUGAUAAGGACCGGGCAGUGCCGGCCAGACUUACUCCCCUAGAACAAGAAAGAGAUUGACACUGUCUCAGUGCCAUCAAAGGGGAAAGGCAGGAGCGGGUCGCUUUUCAGUCUGGGCAGAUAGUGUGGGAAGCCCUGUCCAGCCACUUGCUGACCUGCGUAGAGCAAAGUUGGGAAGGAAAAGAAAAGAUUGAAAGGAUGAAGUGUUUCUUUACUGUGGACCAAUGAAACCGAUCCCUUCUGUAACAGGAGGCAGGGAGGACACCCCGCUGGGUGUGUAAAUAUGCAGAACAGGGAUUGUUGCCCUGAUUGGUACCAAAGGGAACAAGUUUCUGUGAUGUUAGUUAUCACAAGAGAAUGGACUAAAC